ACACACCAACACCUUUUGCCCCUCAACUUAGCCUUUGCACUGCUCUAGGUCACCAUCUGUCUUCAAGAGGCAUCCUCAAUGACAGCCACAUCCUCUCUGAUCUUCCUCCGGUCACCACAUUCGCCUUCAUCACCUGCCAAAAUAGAGCGCAAGCGGUCACCCCCACACCAGUCAGCUCCAGCCUCGUCCACAAGACCGCCCUCCACACCAAAGCCCCACUGGCACUGCGCUCACCAGCAAUAUGCCAAUCCCAAACUCCAACAUUGUGGCUGGCAGGACACCCACGGCACCUGCAAAAAACAAAAACAACAUUUCUCCUCUGCCAGGUAACACUCACCAACCCCACAACACCCAACACCAGUCAACAUUCCAGGCCAGCACUACUCUCCUCUGCACGCUACCACAGCUAACACCCACAAGCAAGGCAGCUCCAGCACCAAACAGACAGACACACACAUCAGACACAGACAUGAAGGAAGCCCUACACAGAAAGAACUAUUCCUACACGUAAGACACUGCCGGACAGAAAGCCCUAUGAGGCCACAACCACGUGGCUCUGAUGCUCUGGACGAGCCCAGAAGAGAGUCAAACACCACUGCCUGUGACAGAAAGGACCCAGCAAAGCCAGGCAGAUCGAUGCAGAAGAGGCCAGCAAGAAAGACCUAAGGACGUGACAACGCAGGGAAGAAAACCCUGAAAGGAGGCCAGGAAGACGCAAAACGAGAGCGGCCUCAGAAGAGGAGCGGCCGACGAGGCCUCGAAGAGGGCCACAGAGAUGACCGGCCACAAACGGCUGCGACGCAAAGACGGAGCGACAGACAGCCCCUUUUAGCAGGCUGCACAGAACAAGACGCCAUCCAUUAGCACAAAGCUAAUGAGUCAGGCCAAGCAAAAGACAACGGAUGCCUACCGCACUAGUGCUGGACAGUGUGGGCCGUGCUCCCUGAGCACAAGGAACAAGAACAACAUCAAGACCUGAGCAAAAGAUAGCACAGCUACAACACACACCACAUAGACUACACAACAACACAGACACAGGCUAGAGCUGCCCUGCCUAGCACACCCUCACCUUCUGCCAUGCACACCCCACUGUCUCUGCCUCACACACAGCACUCAUCCAGAAGACCCCAUACUACACUGUCAGCACACACACA
RNAcentral lists this long non-coding RNA (1154 nucleotides) under Apteryx rowi (Okarito brown kiwi). Its description in RNAcentral is "lncRNA (ENSARWG00000009119.1)". Lineage: Eukaryota; Metazoa; Chordata; Aves; Apterygiformes; Apterygidae. The record is from RNAcentral.